Molecule: ribosomal RNA, 555 nt
Filed under: bacterium
Lineage: Bacteria
Description: bacterial SSU rRNA
Rfam family: Bacterial small subunit ribosomal RNA
Source: RNAcentral
CCUUGGGGAGGCCUACACAUGCAAGUCGAACGGUAGCACAGAGAGCUUGCUCUCGGGUGACGAGUGGCGGACGGGUGAGUAAUGUCUGGGAAACUGCCUGAUGGAGGGGGAUAACUACUGGAAACGGUAGCUAAUACCGCAUAACGUCGCAAGACCAAAGAGGGGGACCUUCGGGCCUCUUGCCAUCAGAUGUGCCCAGAUGGGAUUAGCUAGUAGGUGGGGUAACGGCUCACCUAGGCGACGAUCCCUAGCUGGUCUGAGAGGAUGACCAGCCACACUGGAACUGAGACACGGUCCAGACUCCUACGGGAGGCAGCAGUGGGGAAUAUUGCACAAUGGGCGCAAGCCUGAUGCAGCCAUGCCGCGUGUAUGAAGAAGGCCGUGGGGUUGUAGAGUACUUUCAGCGGGGAGGAAGGCGAUGAGGUUAAUAGGCUUGGCAAUUGACGUUACCCGCAGAAAACGCAACGGCUGACUCCGUGCCAGGAGCCGCGGGGAUACGGGGGGGACGAGCGGUAGUCGGAAGAGAGGGAUUGGGGCACAAGCAGUAGGGGGGUU